GGUCAAGUGACUAAGUGCAUGUGGUGGAUGCCUUGGCGAUUACAGGCGAAGAAGGACGUGAUAGCCUGCGAUAAGCUUCGGGGAGCUGGCAAAUUAGCUUUGAUCCGGAGAUUUCCGAAUGGGGAAACCCACCUCGCAAGAGGUAACGCAUGCUGAAUACAUAGGCAUGCGUGGCGAACCGGGUGAACUGAAACAUCUCAGUAGCUCGAGGAAAAGACAUCAACCGAGAUUCCGAAAGUAGUGGCGAGCGAAAUCGGAGUAGCCCUCGCGUUUUAGCAGUUUGCAUAUCAGAACGGAAUGGAAAGUCCGGCCAUAGCGGGUGAAUAGCCCGUAUGAG
Molecule: non-coding RNA, 337 nt
Filed under: Reticulomyxa filosa
Lineage: Eukaryota; Foraminifera; Reticulomyxidae
Description: Bacterial large subunit ribosomal RNA
Rfam family: Bacterial large subunit ribosomal RNA
Source: Rfam by way of RNAcentral